CCUACGGGUGGCUGCAGUGGGGAAUAUUGGACAAUGGGCGAAAGCCUGAUCCAGCCAUGCCGCGUGUGUGAAGAAGGCCUUCGGGUUGUAAAGCACUUUCAGUGGGGAAGAAAGCCUUGGGGCUAAUACCCUCGAGGAAGGACAUCACCCACAGAAGAAGCACCGGCUAACUCCGUGCCAGCAGCCGCGGUAAUACGGAGGGUGCGAGCGUUAAUCGGAAUUACUGGGCGUAAAGCGCGCGUAGGCGGUCUGAUAAGCCGGUUGUGAAAGCCCCGGGCGCACCCUGGGAACGGCAUCCGGAUCUGUCAGGCUAGAGUGCAGGAGAGGAAGGUAGAAUCACCGGUGUAGCAGUGAAAUGCGUAGAGAUCGGGAGGAAUACCAGUGGCGAAGGCGGCCUUCUGGACUGACACUGACGCUGAGGUGCGAAAGCGUGGGUAGCAAACAGGAUUAGAUACCCCGGUAGUC
This 465-nucleotide ribosomal RNA is filed under the name Vreelandella stevensii. RNAcentral's name for it is "partial 16S ribosomal RNA". It matches the Rfam family "Bacterial small subunit ribosomal RNA", at positions 338 to 795 of the family's 1533-position model. Lineage: Bacteria; Pseudomonadati; Pseudomonadota; Gammaproteobacteria; Oceanospirillales; Halomonadaceae. The record is from RNAcentral.